CCUGGACAUAAACAGCCAUCAGGCAGGCCUGUCAACAUUGGCUUUACGCCCUGAAGUCACAGCCCUUGUUUCCUGGCAAAGCUUUCUCUCGCUCCUCAGUCACUCGGCUUCCCCGAUACCCCCCGACCAGAGCCAUUCAUGGGUUGUGAGAAGCCCUAACUGUGCGCACACCCACCAGUUAACAAAUAACUGUGACCACUGCCACGGCAGAGCCGAACAGAGCCAGGAAGUGAGUGAAUGGGCGUGCAGUAAUGGCGAUCCCUGGUGUGGAUUCUGUGUCUCUAGACAUUAAAGAAAUAACAUAGCAAGAAACAAAUGAGAAACAUAAGUAGUCCCUCAGAUAAUAAGUAUGAGCAGGAAAUGGUGGAGUAGGAGAAAGAUGUGGCAUUCAGAUGUGGGGUCCUUGUCUUCCUCGUCUUCCUGUCUUCUCUGGUCAGAGAGACCGUAUUAAUAAUAGUCGAUAAAAGUGAAAAGAGCACCGCAGAAGCAGAGGAAUCUUCGACAUUUAUGUCUGUUCUGUGGAUUGCUCUGUGACCUUUGGAAAGGAAAAAUCUUCGCCCUUUUACUUGGGUGAGAUGUUGCCUAAGUCCCUCCCUUACUCAGCAGUGCCUGUGUUAGAACGUUAAUCUGAGACUCCAUUAGUUGACGUAUAUAUAUAUUUUUUAAUACCUUUUUAACCACAUGCUGGGGGGUAUUCUAAAAGACUCUGCUGGGUAGAAAUAAUGGUAGUGAUGAGAGUGAACGUGCAUCGAUUUCUACACCACUUGACCAAAGCCCCAGGAGCUCCGUCUAUAUGCACUAUAGUCGUACAUGUAUACGGUUGUUCUGCUUAAUUGUAACGUAACUCUGUUGAGUGUAGACUGUGCUGUUGUCCCCGUUUUACAGAGCUGAGAGAGGUUCGGUAAUUUGCCCCAGAUGGCCCCGAGGUGAAAUGGCAGGUGGCAUGCCAGCCUAGCACUGCCUGAUGCCCAAAUGCCCUGUGCCCUGAAAUGCUGCGUUUUAGAACAAGGUGAAGACAAGUAGUGAGCUUUUGUUUCCUGUGCUGGCACUCGUGCGCCUCCAUCUGUUGGAAUUUGUUGUUAGCUGGUGUCCCCAAACAGGAGCUUGUUAUACUCACUCUUGUUCAUACUCGUGUCUGCUGUCCGUCAAAGCCAGAGGCGGGAGAAUCUGUGCCUCCCUUGCUAGUCCCUGUUGGGACUAUCCCUUUGGAAUAGAAAGAGUCAGGAUGACUGGUUAGCCGUGGCUGCUGAA
Long non-coding RNA from Herpailurus yagouaroundi (jaguarundi), 1251 nucleotides. RefSeq lists it as uncharacterized. The record is from RefSeq and is a predicted model, not a curated record. The transcript is spliced from 2 exons. Lineage: Eukaryota; Metazoa; Chordata; Mammalia; Carnivora; Felidae.